Tribolium madens (black flour beetle) is the source of this 1131-nucleotide long non-coding RNA. RefSeq lists it as uncharacterized. Lineage: Eukaryota; Metazoa; Arthropoda; Insecta; Coleoptera; Tenebrionidae. The transcript has 5 exons. The record is from RefSeq and is a predicted model, not a curated record.
ACUGCCUACAGCUGCAAACGUAAGCGCUGCAGCGCAAGCGUUGACGCCACAGUUGGCCAAGAUCCAACUUUCGCGUGUCGACGGUUAAACUCGACCAAUCACAGGGCAGAGAUUCGAAUUUGGCGCACAUGUCUAACAACGGAUAUUCCGCCAUUGUCAUUGUUCGUUCAUCACCUGCUUUGUGAAUUGUGUUCACCAGUUAGUUAAUUUGUUAUAUUCUGAGUAUUCUCGACAAUUUGCGAUUGGUUGUAUUGUUCGCUGUACUUAUGGAAGGAUCACGCAUAGAUAUCGCUCUGUUGAUUGAUUUAAUUCGGGAAGAACCGCAUAUUUAUGACAAAGCCAAUCGGUUAUUUAAAGAUGACUUGGUAAAACAAAAAAGUUUUGAUAAAAUUGGAGACAUCUUGCAUAUAACUGGCGAACAAUGCCGGAAACUAUGGAAGAAUUUAAGAGACCGGUAUGUUAGAGAGAAAAAAAAGGUAAUUACGCACUCAGGUCAAGAAUGUGAAAGUGACUAUACGUGGCCAUACAUGAAAAAUAUGAGGUUUUUGGCCCCCCACCUCGAAACACUUACACUGCUACUGCUGCUAAAAGAUUGUCAUCUUCAGAUUCAGUAGCAUCAACAAGUACAUCGAACACAGAGAAUACACAGCUUUUUGAAUGAAAUAAAUAAUGAUCUAUCACCAACAGAUCCGCUAAUCUACACUGAAAAUUUCUUCUUAGAAGAAAAGAGUAAGACGCCCCCCUCUGCAGCCCACACAAUAGACUGCACUACACCCAUCUCUGUACACUGCACUACUGCCUUGACGACUCCCGCAUCACGAGGAUCAUCCAAACAGAAUAAAAAUAAGGUGACCAAUGAUCUAGUACAGGUUGCUCGUGACAUUGUGUCUAAAAUUCAACCUGAUCAGGGUUCACAAAAACUCAACACAGACAGUGCUUUUGGGCAGUAUGUUGCCGAAAGGUUACAAGAACUGAACGCGGAACAACGCUCAGCUAAAAGAAGAGCAAUUGUGCUGUUGCUGGAAGACUUAUAAACACGAUAUCGUUUUAUAUGUAUUUAUAAUUUCGUAAUUACAAAGAUACACUUUUUUAAAAAAAACAUAGAUAUUUUUAUAAAAGCUUUAUUAUUUA